Molecule: non-coding RNA, 99 nt
Organism: Acanthosepion pharaonis
Lineage: Eukaryota; Metazoa; Mollusca; Cephalopoda; Sepiida; Sepiidae
Source: the annotation of a GenBank genome assembly
AUUAAAACACUAGUUCCUGUACGAUCACCGAUGUUAAGCAACAUCAAGCCUCAUCAGUACCUAGAUGGGUAACCGCUUGGGAAUACCAAAUACUGUAAG